GAUUGAAGAACGCAGCAAAAUGCGAUAAGUAAUGUGAAUUGCAGAAUUCAGUGAAUCAUCGAAUCUUUGAACGCACAUUGCGCCCGCCAGUAUUCUGGCGGGCAUGCCUGUUCGAGCGUCAUUUCAACCCUCAAGCACAGCUUGGUGUUGGGACUCGCGUUAAUUCGCGUUCCCCAAAUUGAUUGGCGGUCACGUCGAGCUUCCAUAGCGUAGUAGUAAAACCCUCGUUACUGGUAAUCGUCGCGGCCACGCCGUUAAACCCCAACUUCUGAAUGUUGACCUCGGAUCAGGUAGGAAUACCCGCUGAACUUAAGCAUAUCAAUAAGCGGAGGA
This 333-nucleotide unclassified non-coding RNA is filed under the name soil metagenome. RNAcentral's name for it is "partial contains 5.8S ribosomal RNA, internal transcribed spacer 2, and large subunit ribosomal RNA". The stretch from base 4 to 121 matches the Rfam family "5.8S ribosomal RNA", at positions 37 to 154 of the family's 154-position model. The record is from RNAcentral.